Molecule: ribosomal RNA, 856 nt
Filed under: uncultured bacterium
Lineage: Bacteria
Description: partial 16S ribosomal RNA
Rfam family: Bacterial small subunit ribosomal RNA
Source: RNAcentral
GAUGAACGCUAGCGGCAGGCUUAACACAUGCAAGUCGAGGGGUAGUCAUCUUCGGAUGAUGAGACCGGCGCACGGGUGCGUAACGCGUAUGCAAUCUACCUUUUACAGAGGGAUAGCCCAGAGAAAUUUGGAUUAAUACCUCAUAGUAUAACGACUCGGCAUCGAGAUGUUAUUAAAGUUCCAACGGUAAAAGAUGAGCAUGCGUCCCAUUAGCUAGUUGGUGUGGUAACGGCACACCAAGGCAACGAUGGGUAGGGGUCCUGAGAGGGAGAUCCCCCACACUGGUACUGAGACACGGACCAGACUCCUACGGGAGGCAGCAGUGAGGAAUAUUGGUCAAUGGGCGCAAGCCUGAACCAGCCACGCCGCGUGCAGGAUGACGGUCCUAUGGAUUGUAAACUGCUUUUGUACAGGAAGAAACACUCCCUCGUGAGGGAGCUUGACGGUACUGUAAGAAUAAGGAUCGGCUAACUCGUGNCAGCAGCCGCGGUAAUACGGAUGAUCCAAGCGUUAUCCNGAAUCAUUGGGUUUAAAGGGUCCGUANGCGGGUUUAUAANUCAGUGGUGAAAGCCCAUCGCUCAACGAUGGAACGGNCAUUGAUACUGUANAUCUUGAAUUAUUAGGNAGUAACUANAAUAUGUAGUGUAGCGNUGAAAUGCUUANAGAUUACAUGGAAUACCAAUUGCGAAGGGGGNUACUACUAAUGNAUUGACGCUGAUGGUCNAAANCGUGNGUAGCGNACANGAUUANAUACCCUGGUAGUCCACNCCGUAACNAUGGAUACUACCUGUUCNGAGAANCUGAGUGGNUAACNAANUGAUAAGUAUCCNCCNGGGGAGNACGUUCGCNAGANGAA